This 441-nucleotide ribosomal RNA is filed under the name uncultured bacterium. RNAcentral's name for it is "bacterial SSU rRNA". It matches the Rfam family "Bacterial small subunit ribosomal RNA", at positions 354 to 796 of the family's 1533-position model. The record is from RNAcentral.
GUGGGGAAUCUUGCGCAAUGGGCGAAAGCCUGACGCAGCGACGCCGCGUGCGGGAGGACGGCCUUCGGGUCGUAAACCGCUGUUGCCCGGGACGAAACGCUCUUUCGAGAGCCUUGACGGUACCGGGUGAGGAAGCACCGGCUAACUCCGUGCCAGCAGCCGCGGUAAUACGGAGGGUGCGAGCGUUGUCCGGAAUCACUGGGCGUAAAGGGCGCGUAGGCGGCGCGGGAAGGCGGCGGUGAAAGUCCGGGGCUCAACCCCGGAUCGGCCGUGGCGACUCCCGCGCUGGAGCACAGUAGAGGCGGGUGGAAUUCCGGGUGUAGCGGUGGAAUGCGUAGAGAUCCGGAAGAACACCGGUGGCGAAGGCGGCCCGCUGGGCUGUGGCUGACGCUGAGGCGCGACAGCGUGGGGAGCAAACAGGAUUAGAUACCCUAGUAGUCC